UUUUGUUUUACUUCCUCUAAUUGAUGAUGCACUUCCUGUUCAGGAGGGUUGGAGGCGGAGCAUUCCAGCCGUACCUUCCCGACAAAGACCCCCUGCAGAGCUGGGGGGGCUCGGCCUCCUCAGGGCGUGACUGUGGCGUGCACACGGCUCAGGACGCUCUGCUCCACACGAGGAAGGAGAAGGAGGAGCAUGUAGAGGAGCGUGGGAACGUGAUUACUAGAAAGGACAGGAAAGUGACUGUCAAACCAUCCACUGCUAAACCCAGAUCUGAGCGCAAAGGGAAGUGAAACGAUGGAACAGAACAAAUGAAGAAGCAACAGAACUGAAACAACCACAAACAAGAGAUGAUCUUGUAGUUUUAUAACAUUUGUAAAGCAGAAUAUCAACGAUGGCAUGAGCGUUUGUUUUUCUAUAAAAAAUAAUCAAUGUUAGUAAAACACCAUGAAAAAAAAACAAAAAGCAAACAAAGUGCUUCCUGUGAACUGUAAUCGCAUGCUGACUGAUGGUGCAUGCCCUUUGACCUUUGACCUCUGACCUUUUCAACUGUCAUCAUCUGCAAACUAACGGAGCCGGACCCGAGCUUCCUCUGGCCCCGGGCCAGGCCACGGACCUAGUUUUGGCCCCAACAGUGACUCUACAGCCAAAAGUUCCUCCCUGGAUGGAUGUGUACGCUGACCACGCCCCCUGCCUCCCCAAGCCCCGCCCCCUUCCACACAUACGCUCUUAUUGUGACGUUAUGCACUCUACGCUCUGUGGACGCCGUGUGUGUGUGUGUGUGUGUUUAUGCAUGUCUUUGCUUCUAGCUUUAAUGCUGAGCCUCGGCCUCUGAUUGGCUCAUGGUCUCCUUUGAUGUCACGGUGAAUGAGACGCUAACCCAUCGCUCUCGUCCAAAUGCCGUUUCUUUAACGCUCACUUCCUGUCGUCGUCCACUUUAGGUUUUCAGGAACGUCUUGUUUUCCAAAACAAUCUGUUUUUCCAGAUGUUGGGAAUGUUUUCUAUGGAGAACUUCAUCCUUCCUUAGAACCUUCUCCACGCUCUUCCACCGUUUUACCCUCGAGUAGCGCUCGUCGUCUUUGAUCUGAUCCUCGAGCAGCAGCAGCUUGAGCGUAUACAGUAUAUGCAGUAGAAUCACACGCUCUGUGUAUGCUCACGUCUUUCCUUUGAUGUAACAUGGCUUUGAUGUGAGAUGGCCGAGGCCCACAUGACGCCGUGUUCGUCUUCUCAAACUCUGACCCAUGACCUUUGAAUUGUCAGGACGUUUGUAUGUGACUCAAGCACAACUCGCUCAUUUCUAUCAUCGCUUUGUGUUAAAGUCAGAGACGUUUGUCACAGCAAUAAUGACCAAGAAGUGUGUGUGUGUGUGUGUGUGUGUGAGUGUGUGUGUGUGUGUGUGUGAGUGUGUGUGUGUAUAAAGUGAGUCUUUAUCUAGACCAGACACGUCAAACACAAAACUUCCACCAUUUGGAGCAAAAAUAGUAAAUAAGGACGUCUUUGAUUUCAGACGUUAUGAGUGACUUUGAUCUGAGCAUUUAGUGACAGAUUCAAGAGCUUCAAUUUCCUUCAUUUUGUGUCCAAUUUUUUACUUAAUUUGAGGGAUUUUGUGGAAUAUUUUUUAAGGAUAAUAAUAAUUAUUAUUAUUGUAGGAUAUUGGACAACUUUAAGAGUUUUGUCCAUAAUUUGAGAUUAAAAAGUGUGGGAAAACAUUUAAAUUAACUGGUCAUUUGGACCGAAACAUUUUUUUGUAAAUUCUGAAGGAAAAAGUACAAAUUUAAACAAGAUCCCGAUUGGUGAAUAAUUGGUCGAGAUUCCUUGACUUUGCAACUAAUUUGCUGGAAAUUUUCACUGUAAUUUGACAGAAUUUGUGAGAAUAUUUCCAGGUUUUUUAAAGUAAAUGUAAUAAUUACAGAAAGUUCAUUGGGUUUCUUUUUGAAUAGGAAGAAAAAAUGAACUUUCUGGAAUUAUUACGCUUAAAUCAAGGAAACAUCAAAGCGAUCAACAGACGCCUCUGAAGGAGUCUGGCAGUUCACAGUCGAAAGAUGUGAGGAGUUCAAAAUAAAAAGUUUUAAAUGAAACCUAAACA
This 2080-nucleotide long non-coding RNA is filed under the name Gouania willdenowi (blunt-snouted clingfish). RNAcentral's name for it is "lncRNA (ENSGWIG00000010780.1)". The record is from RNAcentral. Lineage: Eukaryota; Metazoa; Chordata; Actinopteri; Blenniiformes; Gobiesocidae.